RNAcentral lists this transfer RNA (97 nucleotides) under Tissierellia bacterium. Its description in RNAcentral is "tRNA-Sec". It matches the Rfam family "Selenocysteine transfer RNA". The record is from RNAcentral. Lineage: Bacteria; Bacillati; Bacillota; Tissierellia.
GGGGGUAGAUGAGUUCUGGUGGGCUCUCUAGUCUUCAAAACUAGCGUGGGGGGUUAGUAGCUUCUUAGGUGGGUUCGAUUCCCACAUACUCCCGCCA